Molecule: ribosomal RNA, 253 nt
Filed under: uncultured bacterium
Lineage: Bacteria
Description: partial 16S ribosomal RNA
Rfam family: Bacterial small subunit ribosomal RNA
Source: RNAcentral
UACGUAGGGGGCAAGCGUUGUCCGGAUUUAUUGGGCGUAAAGAGCGUGUAGGCGGCUUUACAGGUCCGUUGUGAAAACUCGAGGCUCAACCUCGAGACGCCGGUGGAAACCGUAAAGCUAGAGUCCGGAAGAGGAGAGUGGAAUUCCUGGUGUAGCGGUGAAAUGCGUAGAUAUCUGGAGGAACACCGGUGGCGAAGGCGGCAUCCUGGACCAAUACUGACGCUGAGGAGCGAAAGCCAGGGGAGCAAACGGG